Long non-coding RNA from Eriocheir sinensis (Chinese mitten crab), 845 nucleotides. RefSeq lists it as uncharacterized. Lineage: Eukaryota; Metazoa; Arthropoda; Malacostraca; Decapoda; Varunidae. The record is from RefSeq and is a predicted model, not a curated record. The transcript has 4 exons.
UCAGCCUUCUCUGUAACAUUAAUUCUGCCACGAGGAUUAGUGUGACCAGAAAAAAAAAAUUGAGUGAGUUUGCAUAUUAGUUUAUUAUAAAGGAAGAGAAUGUGAAGAAAGGCACGAGAUGGCACGAAAAUGGGAGGAAAUAGAAGAGGAAGAAACGAAGACGUGGAAGGGAGAAUGAGAAAGGAAACACAGAUAAUUGAGAUUGAAUAAAAGAUAAGAAGUAACAGAGAGAGAGAGAGAGAGAGAGAGAGAGAGAGAGAGAGUGCAUAAAUGUACAUACAGGCUUAUCAAGGAGCGAAAUGUAGUGAAAAAAACCCACCGAAUGAACCUGUUUGUUACGAAUGACAAGGUGAUUGAGUUUGAUUUAGGAAAGCUUCAGAAGGAACAAAAGACAGUGAGAAAGAAGCACUGGAUGAACUUGUCUGAAACGAAAUGUUAAAGGUAAUUCGGGUGUCUGUAAUGAAAUGUUAAAGGUAAUUGGGGUGUCUAUAAUGAAAUGGUACAGGUAAUUGGGGUGCCUGUAAUGAAAUGGUACAGGUAAUUGGGGUGUCUGUAAUGAAAUGGUACAGGUAAUUGGGGUGUCUGUAAUGAAAUGGUACAGGUAAUUGGGGUGUCUGUAAUGAAAUGGUACAGGUAAUUGGGGUGUCUGUAAUGAAAUGGUACAGGUAAUUGGGGUGUCUGUAAUGAAAUGGUACAGGUAAUUGGGGUGUCUGUAAUGAAAUGGUACAGGUAAUUGGGGUGUCUGUAAUGAAAUGGUACAGGUAAUUGGGGUGUCUGUAAUGAAAUGGUACAGGUAAUUGGGGUGCCUGUAACGAAAUGGUACAGGUAAUUGGGGUGUCUAUAAU